GUCUACCUAGGUAUGGAGUCAUAACCUUUCAGUCUACCUAGGUAUGGAGUCAUAACCUUUCAUCUACCUAGGUAUGGAGCCAUAACCUUUCAUCUACCUAGGUAUGGAGUCAUAACCUUUCAUCUACCUAGGUAUGGAGUCAUAUCCUUUC
Molecule: long non-coding RNA, 151 nt
Organism: Oncorhynchus keta (chum salmon)
Lineage: Eukaryota; Metazoa; Chordata; Actinopteri; Salmoniformes; Salmonidae
Exons: 3
Source: RefSeq, a predicted model, not a curated record